GGCGAACGCUGGCGGCGUGCUUAACACAUGCAAGUCGAACGGAAAGGCCCUGCUUUUGUGGGGUGCUCGAGUGGCGAACGGGUGAGUAACACGUGAGUAACCUGCCCUUGACUUUGGGAUAACUUCAGGAAACUGGGGCUAAUACCGGAUAGGAGCUCCUGCUGCAUGGUGGGGGUUGGAAAGUUUCGGCGGUUGGGGAUGGACUCGCGGCUUAUCAGCUUGUUGGUGGGGUAGUGGCUUACCAAGGCUUUGAAGGGUAGCCGGCCUGAGAGGGUGACCGGCCACAUUGGGACUGAGAUACGGCCCAGACUCCUACGGGAGGCAGCAGUGGGGAAUAUUGCACAAUGGGCGGAAGCCUGAUGCAGCAACGCCGCGUGCGGGAUGACGGCCUUCGGGUUGUAAACCGCUUUCGCCUGUGACGAAGCGUGAGUGACGGUAAUGGGUAAAGAAGCACCGGCUAACUACGUG
RNAcentral lists this ribosomal RNA (468 nucleotides) under uncultured bacterium. RNAcentral describes it as "partial 16S ribosomal RNA". It matches the Rfam family "Bacterial small subunit ribosomal RNA", at positions 28 to 507 of the family's 1533-position model. The record is from RNAcentral.